RNAcentral lists this transfer RNA (85 nucleotides) under Felis catus (domestic cat). It matches the Rfam family "tRNA". Rfam says of the family: Transfer RNA (tRNA) molecules are approximately 80 nucleotides in length. Their secondary structure includes four short double-helical elements and three loops (D, anti-codon, and T loops). Further hydrogen bonds mediate the characteristic L-shaped molecular structure. tRNAs have two regions of fundamental functional importance: the anti-codon, which is responsible for specific mRNA codon recognition, and the 3' end, to which the tRNAs corresponding amino acid is attached (by aminoacyl-tRNA synthetases). tRNAs cope with the degeneracy of the genetic code in two manners: having more than one tRNA (with a specific anti-codon) for a particular amino acid; and 'wobble' base-pairing, i.e. permitting non-standard base-pairing at the 3rd anti-codon position. The record is from Rfam by way of RNAcentral. RNAcentral also lists the same sequence under 1 other name. Lineage: Eukaryota; Metazoa; Chordata; Mammalia; Carnivora; Felidae.
GCCUGGGUGGCUCAGUCGGUUAAGCGUCUGACUUCAGCUCAGGUCAUGAUCUCGUGGUCUGUGAGUUUGAGCCCCACGUCAGGCU